Non-coding RNA from Pseudogymnoascus verrucosus, 74 nucleotides. Lineage: Eukaryota; Fungi; Ascomycota; Leotiomycetes; Thelebolales; Thelebolaceae. The record is from the annotation of a RefSeq genome assembly.
UGCCUGGGUAGCUCAAUCGGUAGAGCGUGUGACUCUUAAUCUCAAGGUCGCGGGUUCGAGCCCCGCCUCGGGCU